RNAcentral lists this ribosomal RNA (270 nucleotides) under uncultured archaeon. Its description in RNAcentral is "partial 16S ribosomal RNA". It matches the Rfam family "Archaeal small subunit ribosomal RNA", at positions 477 to 747 of the family's 1478-position model. The record is from RNAcentral.
CAGCACCUCAAGUGGUCAGGAUGAUUAUUGGGCCUAAAGCAUCCGUAGCCGGCGCUGUAAGUUUUCGGUUAAAUCUGUACGCUCAACGUACAGGCUGCCGGGAAUACUGCAGCGCUAGGGAGUGGGAGAGGUAGACGGUACUCGGUAGGAAGGGGUAAAAUCCUUUGAUCUAUCGAUGACCACCUGUGGCGAAGGCGGUCUACCAGAACACGUCCGACGGUGAGGGAUGAAAGCUGGGGGAGCAAACCGGAUUAGAUACCCGCGUAGUCC